RNAcentral lists this long non-coding RNA (562 nucleotides) under Camelus dromedarius (Arabian camel). Its description in RNAcentral is "lncRNA (ENSCDRG00005005663.1)". The record is from RNAcentral. Lineage: Eukaryota; Metazoa; Chordata; Mammalia; Artiodactyla; Camelidae.
UGGGAGUAACUCGAAAAUUCUUGUCAACAGGAAACAUUUCCUUUUUGGUCUGUCGGAUCCAGACACUGUCAGAAGCAGCGAGUGGAGCCCUCGUUCUUCUUUUCAUGGGAGGUCAGACUGCCUCCCGUAAGCAUCUUGAAUCUGUGCCAGUCUCAUCUCUGCUUGGUGAUGUCCAGGGAAGCAGAAUCCUCACCUCACAACGCUGGCCUGCUUGACACUUCAUCCAAAUUUGGACAGUUGAGCAGUAUCCUCAAUUCUAGGGGCAUUUCCUCUCUCAGAAGGUUCAAAUAGCGGGAAUCUCAGGCCUUCCCAGACCUCCUUCAAGGAAAAGGUUGGACCUGGAGGUUCUGACCACAAAUGUAAGUUUCAGGUGAGGCUUGAGGCUGAGCUGAGAUUGGCAUGGUAGGCCACCUGGGAUUCAUGGUGAACAAAUUCAAGACAAAAUGGACAUCAGUGGUAGAUCAGAGAGCAAAGAAAUUUGUGCUGUUAUAAAGUAGGAAAAUUGUCUCCAGAAUGAACUUACUAGACUCAAAGCAGGUAUUAAGGACACAGGGAGCUGGGC